GGUUUGUAGCUCAGUGGUAGAGCGCUUGCCUAGCACGUGUGAGGCAUUGGGUUGGAUCCCCAGCACCA
RNAcentral lists this transfer RNA (68 nucleotides) under Marmota monax (woodchuck). RNAcentral's name for it is "tRNA.Ala". Lineage: Eukaryota; Metazoa; Chordata; Mammalia; Rodentia; Sciuridae. The record is from RNAcentral.